ACGGAAGGCAGCAGUGGGGAAUAUUGCACAAUGGGGGAAACCCUGAUGCAGCGACGCCGCGUGAAGGAAGAAGUAUCUCGGUAUGUAAACUUCUAUCAGCAGGGAAGAAAAUGACGGUACCUGACUAAGAAGCCCCGGCUAACUACGUGCCAGCAGCCGCGGUAAUACGUAGGGGGCAAGCGUUAUCCGGAUUUACUGGGUGUAAAGGGAGCGUAGACGGUCUGGCAAGUCUGAUGUGAAAGGCAGGGGCUCAACUCCUGGACUGCAUUGGAAACUGUCAGUCUUGAGUGUCGGAGAGGUAAGCGGAAUUCCUAGUGUAGCGGUGAAAUGCGUAGAUAUUAGGAGGAACACCAGUGGCGAAGGCGGCUUACUGGACGAUAACUGACGUUGAGGCUCGAAAGCGUGGGGAGCAAACAGGAUUAGAUACCCUGGUA
RNAcentral lists this ribosomal RNA (434 nucleotides) under uncultured Blautia sp. RNAcentral describes it as "partial 16S ribosomal RNA". It matches the Rfam family "Bacterial small subunit ribosomal RNA", at positions 341 to 792 of the family's 1533-position model. Lineage: Bacteria; Bacillati; Bacillota; Clostridia; Lachnospirales; Lachnospiraceae. The record is from RNAcentral.